ACGUAGGGGGCGAGCGUUGUCCGAAGUUACUGGGCGUAAAGCGCGCGUAGGCGGGGGGUUAAGUGAGAGGUGAAAGGCUGAGGCUCAACCUCAUGCAGUGCCUCUCAUACUGGCCUUCUUGAGGGCGGUAGGGAGAAGUGGAAUGGCUGGUGUAGCGGUGAAAUGCGUAGAGAUCAGGAAGAACAUCGGUGGCGAAGGCGCUCUGCUGGACCAUAACUGACACUCAGGGACGAAAGCUAGGGGAGCGAAUGGGA
This 254-nucleotide ribosomal RNA is filed under the name uncultured prokaryote. Its description in RNAcentral is "partial 16S ribosomal RNA". It matches the Rfam family "Bacterial small subunit ribosomal RNA", at positions 525 to 777 of the family's 1533-position model. The record is from RNAcentral.